This 457-nucleotide ribosomal RNA is filed under the name uncultured Proteiniphilum sp. Its description in RNAcentral is "bacterial SSU rRNA". It matches the Rfam family "Bacterial small subunit ribosomal RNA", at positions 926 to 1382 of the family's 1533-position model. The record is from RNAcentral. Lineage: Bacteria; Pseudomonadati; Bacteroidota; Bacteroidia; Bacteroidales; Dysgonomonadaceae.
CAAGCGGAGGAACAUGUGGUUUAAUUCGAUGAUACGCGAGGAACCUUUACCCGGGCUUGAAAUGCAUCUGACCGGCCUUGAAAGAGGCACUCCCUUCGGGGCAGAUGUGUAGGUGCUGCAUGGUUGUCGUCAGCUCGUGCCGUGAGGUGUCGGCUUAAGUGCCAUAACGAGCGCAACCCUCAUCAUUAGUUACCAUCAGGUAAGGCUGGGGACUCUAAUGAGACUGCCAUCGUAAGAUGUGAGGAAGGUGGGGAUGACGUCAAAUCAGCACGGCCCUUACGUCCGGGGCGACACACGUGUUACAAUGGGUGGUACAAAGGGCAGCUACCUGGCGACAGGAUGCUAAUCUCGAAAACCGCUCUCAGUUCGGAUCGGAGUCUGCAACUCGACUCCGUGAAGCUGGAUUCGCUAGUAAUCGCGCAUCAGCCAUGGCGCGGUGAAUACGUUCCCGGGCCUU